GGGUCCGUCUUCCAGCACAGUGUUGGAUGGUCUAAUUGUGAAGCUCCUAACACUGUCUGGUAAAGAUGGCCCC
RNAcentral lists this microRNA precursor (73 nucleotides) under Mustela putorius furo (domestic ferret). RNAcentral describes it as "mir-8/mir-141/mir-200 microRNA precursor family". It matches the Rfam family "mir-8/mir-141/mir-200 microRNA precursor family". Rfam says of the family: The bounds of the precursors are predicted based on conservation and base pairing and are not generally known. The record is from Rfam by way of RNAcentral. RNAcentral also lists the same sequence under 1 other name. Lineage: Eukaryota; Metazoa; Chordata; Mammalia; Carnivora; Mustelidae.